RNAcentral lists this long non-coding RNA (1613 nucleotides) under Homo sapiens (human). Its description in RNAcentral is "HSALNT0211531". Lineage: Eukaryota; Metazoa; Chordata; Mammalia; Primates; Hominidae. The record is from RNAcentral.
AAUGGAAAUACUGGAGAGUGGGAAGAUGCCUUUUACAGCAUCACCGAGGUCCUUACAAUGCAGAAAUGUCUCUGCUGCUUGGCCUGAUUACUAGCAUGUGCUGGGGAGAAUAACACUGUUUUGUGGGCUCUUCCCUCCUCACUACUGAGGCCUGGGGUGGUUUUUUAAAUGCAAUGCUGUACAGAGAUUAAUAAUGAGGAGGGGAAAAUUCAUUUAGACGUUUGACAACAUCUCUGUGACACUCAGUAUUCGUCUCAUAUGGAGUAGAUUUGCGCUGCAGAGAAAUGCUGGCAACACUUUAUUCUUAAACAUACGAUUAACCAGCUGCCAGAGACAACAGAACAUUUAAAACUCCUAUUCCAAUCGCCAAGUUACCGUCUAUAGGUCUCAGAGCUACUAAAAUGUAUUUAAAAGUGAGCCACAAGACAACGUGUGUUUCCUUAUGUGUAAGACACAGGGCGUGGAUCAGAUGAGAGCCUUGAUGAUCCCUUUCUGAACUACAGCUUCACCGUGUAACCGUGUCAGGCAAAUAAAGUAACGGAGAAAAGCAAGCUGUUGACUAAGGGAAGUGAAUAAGAAACAAAAUACAUCAAUGGGCUCAGGGAGACCCUUGAGGAAUAAGAAGUCUCAUAUCUGGAUGAGGAAGUUUUUCUCUGCACAGACCACUGUUUGUGAUUUGGAAAAGAAAUCUCUCUAUAUAUGUAUUAUAGCAUAUAUCAUUUCAGCCACUUUGUGCCAGCAUGCAUUAGAGGUGGUGAGAGAGAUAAAACCUUAAGGAAGAAAGAAGCUUUGUGGAUUACUGUUCUGAUAGCCUUUCUCCCAGAGGUCUUAAUGAGUGACUAGGCCUCAAAUGAUAGAAAUUAUCCCAUUCUUCUUUGUGACCUUCCAACAUUGCCCAUGAAAAAACCCCAAAACCAAACAACUACAUUUCUUGGAAAAGGCUUUCAUUUCUAUGUUGUCCUUGUGAAGGAAGAUAAGAUUAACACUUCCUCCUCAUUCCUUUCUUUCUGAAUGUAAAUCUUUUUGGAGUAGCUUUUAGUUGAAAUAAUUAAGUAAUGUUAGAAAUUGUCAGAUAAACAACAUGCUACGAGUAAAAUAUUUAUUUUAGGAAUUUAUCUUACGAAUAUAUAUGUGUAUAAAGACACAUGUUGAAGCAUAUUCAUUACAGUAUUUUUUUCAAGUUCACUACAGCAAAAGUCUAAAGAAUAACCUAUGGCCCAUCCAUAGAGCAUAUUUUUUUUUUAUUGAUAGUGCAGCCAUACAAAUACUACUAUGCAACUGGUUAAAAAGAGUGAGUUGGUUCCAUAUGUAUAGACAUGGGCUAACCUCCAAGACAUAUUAAGGGCAAAAUGCAAGGUGUAGAAUAAUGUGUACAGCAUGCUAUCAUAUUUGUGUAAAUAAAAAGAAAAUAUACAUCUAUGCAUAUGAUUCAUUCUCGAAGAAUGAACAAGAAGCACCUAACAGGCAGUUACCUCUAGGAAUGGGAGCCCAGUGAUGGGAGGUGGGAGACCAAGAUUUUACUGUGUAUAUUUUUGUACUGUUUGAAUUUUUUCUAUUACCAUGUAAUGUGUCACAUUUUCAAAAUAAUUUUAAAAAGUAAACUAAUAAAAUUU